GAUGAAGAACGUAGCGAAAUGCGAUAAGUAAUGCGAAUUGCAGAAUCCGUGAGUCAUCGAAUCUUUGAACGCACAUUGCGCCCUCUGGUAUUCCGGAGGGCAUGCCUGUUCGAGCGUCAUUAUCACCCCUCAAGCCCGGCUUGUUGUUGGAUGCAGCGCUUAUCCCGCUCCUCCCAAAGAUAAUGACGGCGUCUGCGACGACUCCUGUACACUGAGCUUUCGGGCACGUACACGGCUAGAAGUCCAGACCCGGUCGCCGUCCCCCCCGCGGGGACACCCAUUACCACACGGUUGACCUCGGAUCAGGUAGGAAUACCCGCUGAACUUAAGCAUAUCAAUAAGCGGAGGA
This 349-nucleotide unclassified non-coding RNA is filed under the name soil metagenome. RNAcentral describes it as "partial contains 5.8S ribosomal RNA, internal transcribed spacer 2, and large subunit ribosomal RNA". The stretch from base 1 to 119 matches the Rfam family "5.8S ribosomal RNA", at positions 35 to 154 of the family's 154-position model. The record is from RNAcentral.